Non-coding RNA from Peromyscus maniculatus bairdii (prairie deer mouse), 1278 nucleotides. NCBI's taxonomy places the organism in Eukaryota, Metazoa, Chordata, Mammalia, Rodentia, Cricetidae. The record is from RefSeq and is a predicted model, not a curated record.
GCAAGGCAGCGGUAUCCAUGAACAACCUCAACUGUUCUUGUCUGUUAGAAUUCGAAGGCCACCGUUGUUACCAAGGCUCUCAGCUGGACCCAGCUGUCUGAGAGGAGUCUCUGCAAUGUUCUCAUCUCUCCCCUCCACCGGGAGACUGACAGCGGGGUCAGUUGUUCCUCAGGCCGUUUUGUCCCCCUACCUGGAGAUACAUCUGUCUUUGAGCUUUGCACCUUUUGGCAACACACAGUGCAGAAUUAUUUGAGCAGCUCUACACUUGUGGGAACAGAUCAUCUUUUGAAAAGGACCCCAUCAUUACCACUACUUGUUGUUUUCAUUUUCUCUUGUGUAGUCUGAGUGGAGAGUUUGUGUACACACAUGUAUGUGGGGCCAUGUGUCAGUGUGUGCUCAUGCGGAGAACAGAGGCUGACAUCCGUGUCUUCCUCAAUCACUCUUCAGCUCAUUUUUUUGGACACAGGGCCUCCCACUGAACCUAGGACUCGUUGAUUGGUUAGGCCGACUGGCCGGGAGCCCCAGAGAGCUGCCUCCCCAGCACCGACUGCAGAUGCACAUUACCCCUGACUUUCACAUGGGCGCUGGGUAAACAGGUGUCUCUGGGUCUUCACCAAGUCCAGGGUUGCCCAUCCUUCACCAUGUCGGGUGACUCUCUGGUAUCCUGUGAUGCAGUUACUGUCCACUGUAGGUGGUGGCAACAUGACCUUCUCUGCAAAAGGGGUUUUCUACACUGUGACAGAUCUUCUAGUCAGAGCACAGAUGCACAACGCAGACUACAGAAUGGCCCUGCCCUCUGAGACGUCUGAGAAUGUGCCGCUCACAACAGCCUUGCUGCUACCCUGGUGGUGAUACUGCCUAGGGGAGUUAAGUUACCCAGGCUGCUAGUGAACAGAGGGGGAAAAGCUGCCUUCUGUCAAAUGCAUUUUUAUGUUCCUGACACUGGGUGGUGCAAUAUAAAAGUAAUUACUAGCCCUCAAUACGUGGUGAUAAAAUGGCUCUAAAUUUGUGAAGUUACAAAGUAGCACCAUCACCUGCAAACUGAGCUCUAAGAACUGAGUCAUGUCAGCUGGAAUAGUCCGUGUCUGUGAGAAGAGGGCAUGGUCAUGGAUCAUUUUCAAGUGGCAACAAAGAGGAGAAACGAAAAGAUUCUUCAAAGGAGCUUUGGGUAAAUAUAACUAUUUGCUAAUGUAUGUCAUACAAUAGCAUCGAAUAGAGUCAGACAAAACAUUCUGCUUUAUUGGGAAGACAUUUUAGAAUAAAAACCAUAUACUUUAA